GAUGAACGCUGGCGGCGUGCUUAACACAUGCAAGUCGAACGAUGAAGCCCAGCUUGCUGGGUGGAUUAGUGGCGAACGGGUGAGUAACACGUGAGUAACCUGCCCUUUACUCUGGGAUAAGCCCGGGAAACUGGGUCUAAUACCGGAUAGGAGCGCCUGUCGCAUGACGGGUGUUGGAAAGAUUUUUCGGUCAUGGAUGGACUCGCGGCCUAUCAGCUUGUUGGUGAGGUAAUGGCUCACCAAGGCGACGACGGGUAGCCGGCCUGAGAGGGUGACCGGCCACACUGGGACUGAGACACGGCCCAGACUCCUACGGGAGGCAGCAGUGGGGAAUAUUGCACAAUGGGCGGAAGCCUGAUGCAGCGACGCCGCGUGAGGGAGGACGGCCUUCGGGUUGGAAACCUCUUUCAGUAGGGAAGAAGCGAAAGUGACGGUACCUGCAGAAGAAGCACCGGCUAACUACGU
RNAcentral lists this ribosomal RNA (465 nucleotides) under uncultured bacterium. RNAcentral describes it as "partial 16S ribosomal RNA". It matches the Rfam family "Bacterial small subunit ribosomal RNA", at positions 28 to 506 of the family's 1533-position model. The record is from RNAcentral.